RNAcentral lists this ribosomal RNA (254 nucleotides) under uncultured bacterium. RNAcentral describes it as "partial 16S ribosomal RNA". It matches the Rfam family "Bacterial small subunit ribosomal RNA", at positions 524 to 776 of the family's 1533-position model. The record is from RNAcentral.
UACAGAGACUGCAAGCGUUAUUCGGAUUCACUGGGCGUAAAGGGCGCGUAGGCGGCGUGACAAGUCACUUGUGAAAUCUCCGGGCUUAACUCGGAACGGUCAAGUGAUACUGUCGUGCUAGAGUACAGAAGGGGCAACUGGAAUUCUCGGUGUAGCGGUGAAAUGCGUAGAUAUCGAGAGGAACACCUGCGGCGAAGGCGGGUUGCUGGGCUGAUACUGACGCUGAGGCGCGACAGCGUGGGGGAGCAAACAGG